RNAcentral lists this ribosomal RNA (433 nucleotides) under uncultured bacterium. RNAcentral's name for it is "partial 16S ribosomal RNA". It matches the Rfam family "Bacterial small subunit ribosomal RNA", at positions 29 to 507 of the family's 1533-position model. The record is from RNAcentral.
AACGAACGCUGGCGGCAUGCCUAACACAUGCAAGUCGAACGAGACCUUCGGGUCUAGUGGCGCACGGGUGCGUAACGCGUGGGAACCUGCCCUUAGGUUCGGAAUAACUCCCCGAAAGGGGUGCUAAUACCGGAUAAUGUCUUCGGACCAAAGAUUUAUCGCCUUUGGAUGGGCCCGCGUUGGAUUAGCCAGUUGGUAGGGUAAAAGCCUACCAAGGCGACGAUCCAUAGCUGGUCUGAGAGGAUGAUCAGCCACACUGGGACUGAGACACGGCCCAGACUCCUACGGGAGGCAGCAGUGGGGAAUAUUGGACAAUGGGCGAAAGCCUGAUCCAGCAAUGCCGCGUGAGUGAUGAAGGCCUUAGGGUUGUAAAGCUCAUUUACCCGGGAUGAUAAUGACAGUACCGGGAGAAUAAGCUCCGGCUAACUCCGUG